GUGCCAGCAGCCGCGGUAAUACGAAAGGUGCAAGCGUUAAUCGGAUUUACUGGGCGUAAAGCGCGCGUAGGUGGCCAAUUAAGUCAAAUGUGAAAUCCCCGAGCUUAACUUGGGAAUUGCAUUGGAUACUGGUUGGCUAGAGUAUCGGAGAGGAUGGUAGAAUUCCAGGUGUAGCGGUGAAAUGCGUACAGAUCUGGAGGAAUACCGAUGGCGUUGGCAGCCAUCUGGCCUAAUACUGACACUGAGGUGCGAAAGCAUGGGGAGCAAACAGGAUUAGAAAC
This 281-nucleotide ribosomal RNA is filed under the name uncultured prokaryote. RNAcentral describes it as "partial 16S ribosomal RNA". It matches the Rfam family "Bacterial small subunit ribosomal RNA", at positions 505 to 785 of the family's 1533-position model. The record is from RNAcentral.